CCUACGGGAGGCAGCAGUGAGGAAUAUUGGUCAAUGGACGAGAGUCUGAACCAGCCAAGUAGCGUGAAGGAUGACUGCCCUAUGGGUUGUAAACUUCUUUUAUAUGGGAAUAAAAUGUUCCACGUGUGGGAUUUUGUAUUUACAAUAUGAAUAAGGAUCGGCUAACUCCGUGCCAGCAGCCGCGGUAAUACGGAGGAUCCGAGCGUUAUCCGGAUUUAUUGGGUUUAAAGGGAGCGUAGGUGGAUUGUUAAGUCAGUUGUGAAAGUUUGCGGCUCAACCGUAAAAUUGCAGUUGAAACUGGCAGUCUUGAGUACAGUAGAGGUGGGCGGAAGUCGUGGUGUAGCGGUGAAAUGCUUAGAUAUCACGAAGAACUCCGAUUGCGAAGGCAGUUCACUGGACUGCAACUGACACUGAGGCUCGAAAGUGUGGGUAUCAAACAGGAGUAGAUACCCUAGUAGUC
This 460-nucleotide ribosomal RNA is filed under the name uncultured bacterium. RNAcentral describes it as "partial 16S ribosomal RNA". It matches the Rfam family "Bacterial small subunit ribosomal RNA", at positions 338 to 795 of the family's 1533-position model. The record is from RNAcentral.